RNAcentral lists this transfer RNA (77 nucleotides) under Bacillota bacterium. Its description in RNAcentral is "Firmicutes bacterium tRNA-Ala". It matches the Rfam family "tRNA". From Rfam's summary of the family: Transfer RNA (tRNA) molecules are approximately 80 nucleotides in length. Their secondary structure includes four short double-helical elements and three loops (D, anti-codon, and T loops). Lineage: Bacteria; Bacillati; Bacillota. The record is from RNAcentral. RNAcentral also lists the same sequence under 2 other names.
GGGGCAUUAGCUCAGUUGGCUAGAGUGCAACACUGGCAGUGUUGAAGUCAUCGGUUCGAAUCCGAUAUGCUCCACCA